This 405-nucleotide ribosomal RNA is filed under the name uncultured bacterium. RNAcentral's name for it is "bacterial SSU rRNA". It matches the Rfam family "Bacterial small subunit ribosomal RNA", at positions 355 to 776 of the family's 1533-position model. The record is from RNAcentral.
UGGGGGAUAUUGCACAAUGGGGGGAACCCUGAUGCAGCGACGCCGCGUGAGUGAAGAAGCAUUUCGGUGUGUAAAGCUCUAUCAGCAGGGAAGAAGAGUGACGGUACCUGAGUAAGAAGCCCCGGCUAACUACGUGCCAGCAGCCGCGGUAAUACGUAGGGGGCAAGCGUUAUCCGGAUUUACUGGGUGUAAAGGGAGCGUAGACGGCGAUGCAAGCCUGAUGUGAAAGCCCGCGGCUCAACUGCGGGACUGCAUUGGGAACUGUAUGGCUGGAGUGCAGGAGAGGUAAGCGGAAUUCCUGGUGUAGCGGUGAAAUGCGUAGAUAUCAGGAGGAACACCGGUGGCGAAGGCGGCUUACUGGACUGUAACUGACGUUGAGGCUCGAAAGCGUGGGGAGCAAACAGG